Molecule: ribosomal RNA, 470 nt
Filed under: uncultured bacterium
Lineage: Bacteria
Description: bacterial LSU rRNA
Rfam family: Bacterial large subunit ribosomal RNA
Source: RNAcentral
UACGAGUAGCGGACGAGUAGAAGGGAACACGACCUUAACGUUAUAGACGAAGUCAUAGCGGGGGUCGCGGGACUCCAUCAAGAGAUGGGAAGAAGUUAGCUGAAGAGCUCUGGAAAGAGCCACCAAGACGGUGACAGUCCGGUAAGCGAAAAUUUCUGAACCUCUGGAGUAUCCCAAGUAGUACGGGGCACGAGAAACCUUGUACGAAUCUGCCAGGACCAUCUGGUAAGGCUAAAUACUGACUGACGACCGAUAGUGAACAAGUACCGCGAGGGAAAGGUGAAAAGAACCCGUGAGAGGGAGUGAAAUAGAACAUGAAACCGUGUGCUUACAAGCAAUUGGAGCACUAUUUAUAGUGUGACAGUGUGCCUGUUGAAGAAUGAGCCGGCGAGUUACCGUACGUAGUUGGUUAAGCAGUUAACAUGCGAAGCCAAAGGGAAACCGAGUCUGAUAAGGGCGUUGAUAAUUAC